This 253-nucleotide ribosomal RNA is filed under the name uncultured bacterium. Its description in RNAcentral is "partial 16S ribosomal RNA". It matches the Rfam family "Bacterial small subunit ribosomal RNA", at positions 524 to 776 of the family's 1533-position model. The record is from RNAcentral.
UACAGAGGGUGCGAGCGUUAAUCGGAUUUACUGGGCGUAAAGGGCGCGUAGGCGGUUUGAUAAGUGAGAUGUGAAAUCCCUGGGCUUAACCUAGGAACUGCAUCUCAUACUGUUGAGCUAGAGUAUUGUAGAGGGUAGUGGAAUUUCCGGUGUAGCGGUGAAAUGCGUAGAGAUCGGAAGGAACACCAGUGGCGAAGGCGGCUACCUGGACAAAUACUGACGCUGAUGCGCGAAAGCGUGGGGAUCAAACAGG